Molecule: non-coding RNA, 1276 nt
Organism: Nerophis lumbriciformis (worm pipefish)
Lineage: Eukaryota; Metazoa; Chordata; Actinopteri; Syngnathiformes; Syngnathidae
Source: RefSeq, a predicted model, not a curated record
UCAGGUUCCACUGUGGGAGCAUUAUUGAUGUUUGUGUGUGUCAGGUUCCACUGUAGGAGCAUUAUUGAUGUUUGUGGGAGCAUUAUUGAUGUUUGUGUGUGUCAGGUUCCACUGUGGGAGCAUUAUUGAUGUUUGUGUGUGUCAGGUUCCACUGUAGGAGCAUUAUUGAUGUUUGUGUGUGUCAGGUUCCACUGUGGGAGCAUUAUUGAUGUUUGUGUGUGUCAGGUUCCACUGUGGGAGCAUUAUUGAUGUUUGUGGGAGCAUUAUUGAUGUUUGUGUGUGUCAGGUUCCACUGUGGGAGCAUUAUUGAUGUUUGUGUGUGUCAGGUUCCACUGUAGGAGCAUUAUUGAUGUUUGUGUGUGUCAGGUUCCACUGUGGGAGCAUUAUUGAUGUUUGUGUGUGUCAGGUUCCACUGUGGGAGCAUUAUUGAUGUUUGUGUGUGCCAGGUUCCACUGUGGGAGCAUUAUUGAUGUUUGUGUGUGUCAGGUUCCACUGUGGGAGCAUUAUUGAUGUUUGUGUGUGUCAGGUUCCACUGUAGGAGCAUUAUUGAUGUUUGUGGGAGCAUUAUUGAUGUUUGUGUGUGUCAGGUUCCACUGUGGGAGCAUUAUUGAUGUUUGUGUGUGUCAGGUUUCACUGUAGGAGCAUUAUUGAUGUUUGUGUGUGUCAGGUUCCACUGUGGGAGCAUUAUUGAUGUUUGUGUGUGUCAGGUUCCACUGUGGGAGCAUUAUUGAUGUUUGUGGGAGCAUUAUUGAUGUUUGUGUGUGUCAGGUUCCACUGUGGGAGCAUUAUUGAUGUUUGUGUGUGUCAGGUUCCACUGUAGGAGCAUUAUUGAUGUUUGUGUGUGUCAGGUUCCACUGUGGGAGCAAUAUUGAUGUUUGUGUGUGUCAGGUUCCACUGUGGGAGCAUUAUUGAUGUUUGUGGGAGCAUUAUUGAUGUUUGUGUGUGUCAGGUUCCACUGUGGGAGCAUUAUUGAUGUUUGUGUGUGUCAGGUUCCACUGUAGGAGCAUUAUUGAUGUUUGUGUGUGUCAGGUUCCACUGUGGGAGCAUUAUUGAUGUUUGUGUGUGUCAGGUUCCACUGUGGGAGCAUUAUUGAUGUUUGUGGGAGCAUUAUUGAUGUUUGUGUGUGUCAGGUUCCACUGUGGGAGCAUUAUUGAUGUUUGUGUGUGUCAGGUUCCACUGUAGGAGCAUUAUUGAUGUUUGUGUGUGUCAGGUUCCACUGUGGGAGCAUUAUUGAUGUUUGUGUGUGUCAGGUUCCACUGUGGGAGCAUUAUUGAUG